This 577-nucleotide long non-coding RNA is filed under the name Phaseolus vulgaris (common bean). Its description in RNAcentral is "long non-coding RNA (PVUL_LNC002411)". Lineage: Eukaryota; Viridiplantae; Streptophyta; Magnoliopsida; Fabales; Fabaceae. The record is from RNAcentral.
CAGUUUCCUCCUUGCAUCUUCAUCUUCACCUCUCACAUUCCCCUGUGUCACAUCAUAUCACAUCCAUAACUUGUCAAUUUUUCUCAAACAUUCACAAUUAGUCACAUAUACACAAAACUGCACCCACAUAAGGUGCCAAUGCAAUGUGUUUUGGCUUCCAGAUUUGCUCCAAAUCAAAGUUUUAGUCCCUAAAUUCACAAAUGCAUAUAAUGUGUUCCAUUCUUAAAGUGAUUUUGAUCCUUGUGAUUGAAAAAAAGAAUACGAAAACUUCAAUAGAACUUGAACAGAUUCUAAGACAUGUUAGGCUCAACAAAUUUAAAAGAGAGAGUGAGACCUUGGUUUUGUCCCUUGCCUGUGCAGUUUUCUGUUUUGCUGCUUCUGUGGUUUCUGCAGCCUUGUCCUUCAUCUCCGCAGUCUUGUUAUUUGCUGCCUCAGUUGCUUCCCAGGUCUUGUUCUUUGCUGCUUCAGUUGCAUCCCAGGUCUUGUCCUUCAUCUCCGCAGCCUUAUUCUUCGCUGCCUCGGUCGUUUCAGCAGUCUUGUUCUUUGUUGCAUCAGCAGUUUCUGCAGCCUUCUUCUU